Lates calcarifer (barramundi perch) is the source of this 140-nucleotide small nucleolar RNA. Lineage: Eukaryota; Metazoa; Chordata; Actinopteri; Centropomidae. The record is from Ensembl.
AGCCACAGAACAGACUCGUCAAGGGGCUUGUCCUGUGCAGUGGGCUGAUCCCAGGACAGUGGUGGCUAUAUAAAGUCAGGUUUUGCUUUCACCUCUGCACUAUUGGUUGCUGAAUGGUGACAAUGAGGCCUGGCACAUUC